CUAUAUAUUACAUGGACUGCCAACUCUACGCACUAAGCCUAUAUUUUUCAAUAAACAAGUCCCGUUCACGGAGGCGUCCUUGGUUGCGUGGUAAAUUGACUUCCGGUAGAUUUUUUUUUACGUAUAAAGAAACCAUUCUCGAAGAUUUUUACCACCACUUUUACAGCAAAUCAUGAAUGGAAACUGAAUUGUUAAAGAAGAUGUUACAGAGGAGCAUACUACUUCCACAAACCUGAUUUGAUUGUCACUAACUUUCAAAUUGAAAGGGAUCUACUACAACUGCUCAUGAAUUUGGAGAUUUUACAGCUAAUAGAGGAACAAAUUUUAUCUGCUUCCACUUAGCCAAACAGCAUGGAAAUAUGCUAUUGUAAUGAGUAGAAGAUAUUUGUCAUUUAGAGUAUCAUGCAACAGCUAAUU
Long non-coding RNA from Biomphalaria glabrata, 417 nucleotides. RefSeq lists it as uncharacterized. The record is from RefSeq and is a predicted model, not a curated record. Lineage: Eukaryota; Metazoa; Mollusca; Gastropoda; Planorbidae. The transcript is spliced from 3 exons.